Molecule: ribosomal RNA, 442 nt
Filed under: uncultured bacterium
Lineage: Bacteria
Description: partial 16S ribosomal RNA
Rfam family: Bacterial small subunit ribosomal RNA
Source: RNAcentral
CCUACGGGAGGCAGCAGUGGGGGAUAGUGGGCAAUGGGCGCAAGCCUGACCCAGCAACGCCGCGUGAAGGAAGAAGGCGUUCGGGUUGUAAACUUCUUUUGGCAGGGAAGAGGAGAAGACGGUACCUGACGAAUAAGCCACGGCUAACUACGUGCCAGCAGCCGCGGUAAUACGUAGGUGGCAAGCGUUGUCCGGAUUUACGUGGUGUAAAGGGCGUGUAGCCGGGUUGACAAGUCAGAUGUGAAAUCCUGCGGCUUAACCGCAGAACUGCCUUUGAAACUGUUGAUCUUGAGUACUGGAGAGGCAGCUGGAAUUCCUAGUGUAGCGGUGACAUGCGUAGAUAUUAGGAGGAACCCCAGUGGCGAAGGCGGUCUGCUGGACAGCAACUGACGGUGAGGCGCGAAAGCGUGGGGAGCAAACAGGAUUAGAUACCCUAGUAGUC